This 71-nucleotide small nucleolar RNA is filed under the name Castor canadensis (American beaver). The record is from RNAcentral. Lineage: Eukaryota; Metazoa; Chordata; Mammalia; Rodentia; Castoridae.
AGGGUCUAAAGUAUUUUAAAAAGUUGAGUCUCACAACCAUGAGAUCAACCCAUGCACUGCUCUGAGACCUA